UCCAUCUUGGCUCAGAUGGUAAAGAAUCUGCCUGCAAUGCAGAAGACCUGGGUUUGAUCCCUGGGUUGGGA
Molecule: transfer RNA, 71 nt
Filed under: Bos taurus (domestic cattle)
Lineage: Eukaryota; Metazoa; Chordata; Mammalia; Artiodactyla; Bovidae
Also listed under: 2 other names
Rfam family: tRNA
About the family: Transfer RNA (tRNA) molecules are approximately 80 nucleotides in length. Their secondary structure includes four short double-helical elements and three loops (D, anti-codon, and T loops).
Source: Rfam by way of RNAcentral